GACGAACGCUGGCGGCGUGCCUAAUACAUGCAAGUAGAACGCACAGGAUGCACCGUAGUUUACUACACCGUAUUCUGUGAGUUGCGAACGGGUGAGUAACGCGUAGGUAACCUGCCUGGUAGCGGGGGAUAACUAUUGGAAACGAUAGCUAAUACCGCAUAAGAACAUUUACUGCAUGGUAGAUGUUUAAAAGGUGCAAAAGCAUCACUACCAGAUGGACCUGCGUUGUAUUAGCUAGUUGGUGAGGUAACGGCUCACCAAGGCAACGAUACAUAGCCGACCUGAGAGGGUGAUCGGCCACACUGGGACUGAGACACGGCCCAGACUCCUACGGGAGGCAGCAGUAGGGAAUCUUCGGCAAUGGGGGGAACCCUGACCGAGCAACGCCGCGUGAGUGAAGAAGGUUUUCGGAUCGUAAAGCUCUGUUGUUAAGGAAGAACGUGUGUGAGAGUGG
RNAcentral lists this ribosomal RNA (454 nucleotides) under Streptococcus constellatus. Its description in RNAcentral is "bacterial SSU rRNA". It matches the Rfam family "Bacterial small subunit ribosomal RNA", at positions 28 to 464 of the family's 1533-position model. The record is from RNAcentral. Lineage: Bacteria; Bacillati; Bacillota; Bacilli; Lactobacillales; Streptococcaceae.